UACGUAGGGUGCAAGCGUUAAUCGGAAUUACUGGGCGUAAAGCGUGCGCAGGCGGUUUUGUAAGUUUGUCGUGAAAGCCCCGGGCUCAACCUGGGAAUUGCGAUGAAGACUGCAAGGCUAGAAUCUGGCAGAGGGGGGUAGAAUUCCACGUGUGAGCAGUGAAAUGCGUAGAGAGUGUGGAGGAACACCGAUGGCGAAGGCAGCCCCCUGGGUCAAGAUUGACGCUCCAUGCACGAAAGGCGUGGGGAGCAAACAG
This 256-nucleotide ribosomal RNA is filed under the name uncultured bacterium. RNAcentral describes it as "partial 16S ribosomal RNA". It matches the Rfam family "Bacterial small subunit ribosomal RNA", at positions 524 to 775 of the family's 1533-position model. The record is from RNAcentral.